GAUGAAGAACGUAGCGAAAUGCGAUAAGUAAUGUGAAUUGCAGAAUUCAGUGAAUCAUCGAAUCUUUGAACGCACAUUGCGCCCGCCAGUAUUCUGGCGGGCAUGCCUGUUCGAGCGUCAUUUCAACCAUCAAGCCCCCGGCUUGUGUUGGGGACCUGCGGCGCGCCCGCAGGCCCUGAAAACCAGUGGCGGGCUCGCUGACCACACCGAGCGUAGUAACAUCUCUGUCUCGCUCAGGGCGUGCGGCGGGUUCCAGCCGUGAAACCCACCUCUCAAGGUACCCAAAGGUUGACCUCGGAUCAGGUAGGAAGACCCGCUGAACUUAAGCAUAUCAAUAAGCGGAGGA
Molecule: unclassified non-coding RNA, 346 nt
Filed under: soil metagenome
Description: partial contains 5.8S ribosomal RNA, internal transcribed spacer 2, and large subunit ribosomal RNA
Rfam family: 5.8S ribosomal RNA (bases 1-120)
Source: RNAcentral